Molecule: long non-coding RNA, 610 nt
Filed under: Helianthus annuus (common sunflower)
Lineage: Eukaryota; Viridiplantae; Streptophyta; Magnoliopsida; Asterales; Asteraceae
Description: sRNA HanXRQr2_Chr05g0204471
Source: RNAcentral
AAACCGAAAGCUCAGACAACGCUAGAGAAGGAGGCAGCAGUGGGAAGGGUUGGGUGUUGCCCCCCUCCGCAACCCAUGAUCUCCGAUUUCCCCCCGAAAUUCAACAGCCCUUACAUCUGGGAUGGAACUCCGAUCGUCUGAUCAUCCGAUUGCUUGUUGACUGGACUGCUUCUUCUACAAUAUUUUCUUUUUGGCCAUGAAUGCAAGUUCACCAUUUUGGCUGUCACAAUCGGUGGUGCUGGUGACCUGAGAACAUGGGAUGGAGAGGACCAAGAUGACGACGGUGUUAGAAGUAUACUUUUUCCGGUAACCAUUGGGAUCAAUCAAACAAGAUCUCGGUUUUGAACAAUUCAUCAGCCCUCACCAUCAUUCAACCUUUUUAUGUUACUUGAGAUAUCAAGGCGAACUUAUUUCAAAAGAUGAAGCGUAGAAGAAAUUUUACAACUCUAGCUUGGGAUGAUUGGUUUAAGUUCAACGGUUGUGUUAAACUACCAUUUUCUUGUGUGUUUUUUUUACCGAAUGUAUUAUCUUCAUCCUACUAAAUCAAUAACAUCAUUUCUCUAACUUUAUUUGUAGGAGAUGCGUUAAACAUAAAUAGAAGAUAAAUUUA